Molecule: transfer-messenger RNA, 362 nt
Filed under: Salmonella enterica
Lineage: Bacteria; Pseudomonadati; Pseudomonadota; Gammaproteobacteria; Enterobacterales; Enterobacteriaceae
Also listed under: 2 other names
Rfam family: transfer-messenger RNA
About the family: Bacterial tmRNA, also known as 10Sa RNA or SsrA, is named for its dual tRNA and mRNA-like properties. Its role is to liberate the mRNA from a stalled ribosome.
Source: RNAcentral
GGGGCUGAUUCUGGAUUCGACGGGAUUUGCGAAACCCAAGGUGCAUGCCGAGGGGCGGUUGGCCUCGUAAAAAGCCGCAAAAAAUAGUCGCAAACGACGAAAACUACGCUUUAGCAGCUUAAUAACCUGCUUAGAGCCCUCUCUCCCUAGCCUCCGCUCUUAGGACGGGGAUCAAGAGAGGUCAAACCCAAAAGAGAUCGCGUGGAGGCCCUGCCUGGGGUUGAAGCGUUAAAACGAAUCAGGCUAGUCUGGUAGUGGCGUGUCCGUCCGCAGGUGCCAGGCGAAUGUAAAGACUGACUAAGCAUGUAGUACCGAGGAUGUAGGAAUUUCGGACGCGGGUUCAACUCCCGCCAGCUCCACCA